AACGUAGGACACGAGCGUUAUCCGGAAUUACUGGGCGUAAAGGGCGGGUAGGUGGUGCGAUAAGACUGGUGUGAAAGCCUUCGGCUUAACCGAAGGAGGACACUGGUGACUGUCGGACUUGAGGCAGAUAGAGGGGUGUAGAAUUCCGGGUGUAGUGGUGAAAUGCGUAGAGAUCCGGAGGAAUACCAGAGGCGAAGGCGGCACCCUGGGUCGGACCUGACACUGAUCCGCGACAGCAUGGGGAGCGAACGGG
Molecule: ribosomal RNA, 253 nt
Filed under: uncultured bacterium
Lineage: Bacteria
Description: partial 16S ribosomal RNA
Rfam family: Bacterial small subunit ribosomal RNA
Source: RNAcentral